RNAcentral lists this ribosomal RNA (167 nucleotides) under Erica scoparia. Its description in RNAcentral is "5.8S ribosomal RNA". It matches the Rfam family "5.8S ribosomal RNA". Rfam says of the family: 5.8S ribosomal RNA (5.8S rRNA) is a component of the large subunit of the eukaryotic ribosome. The record is from RNAcentral. RNAcentral also lists the same sequence under 3 other names. Lineage: Eukaryota; Viridiplantae; Streptophyta; Magnoliopsida; Ericales; Ericaceae.
UUAAACGACUCUCGGCAACGGAUAUCUCGGCUCUUGCAUCGAUGAAGAACGUAGCGAAAUGCGAUACUUGGUGUGAAUUGCAGAAUCCCGUGAACCAUCGAGUCUUUGAACGCAAGUUGCGCCUGAAGCCAUCAGGUUGAAGGCACGUCUGCCUGGGCGUCACGCAU